Molecule: ribosomal RNA, 293 nt
Filed under: uncultured bacterium
Lineage: Bacteria
Description: partial 16S ribosomal RNA
Rfam family: Archaeal small subunit ribosomal RNA
Source: RNAcentral
GUGCCAGCCGCCGCAGUAAUACCGGCAGCCCGAGUGAUGGCCGAUCUUAUUGGGCCUAAAGCGUCCGUAGCUGGCCGACCAAGUCUAUCGGGAAAUCCACCUGCCCAACAGGUGGGCGUCCGGUAGAAACUGGCCGGCUUGGAACCGGAAGGCUCAGAGAGUACGUCCGGGGUAGGAGUGAAAUCCCGUAAUCCCGGACGGACUACCGAUGGCGAAAGCACUCUGAGAAGACGGCUUCGACAGUGAGGGACGAAAGCUAGGGUCUCGAACCGGAUUAGAUACCCUAGUAGUCC